ACGGGGUGCAGCAGGCGCGAGACCUCCGCAAUACACGAAAGUGUGACGGGGUUACCCAAAGUGUUCAAUUUUGAACUGUGGUAGGUGAGUAAUGUUCCCUACUAGAAAGGAGAGGGCAAGGCUGGUGCCAGCCGCCGCGGUAAAACCAGCUCUUCAAGUGGUCGGGAUAAUUAUUGGGCUUAAAGUGUCCGUAGCCGGUUUAGUAAGUUCCUGGUAAAAUCGGGUAGCUUAACUAUCUAUAUGCUAGGAAUACUACUAUACUAGAGGGCGGGAGAGGUCUGAGGUACUACAGGGGUAGGGGUGAAAUCUUAUAAUCCUUGUUGGACCACCAGUGGCGAAGGCGUCAGACUGGAACGCGCCUGACGGUGAGGGACGAAAGCCAGGGGAGCGAACCGGAUUAGAUACCCGGGUAGUCCUGGCCGUAAACGAUGCAUACUAGGUGAUGGCACGGCCAUGAGCCGUGUCAGUGCCGUAGGGAAACCGUUAAGUGUGCCGCCUGGGAAGUACGGUCGCAAGGCUAAAACUUAAAGGAAUUGGCGGGGGAGCACCACAAGGGGUGAAGCCUGCGGUUCAAUUGGACUCAACGCCGGAAAACUUACCAGGGGAGACAGCAGUAUGACGGUCAGGUUGACGACCUUACCUAACGAGCUGAGAGGAGGUGCAUGGCCGUCGCCAGUUCGUGCCGUGAGGUAUCCUGUUAAGUCAGGCAACGAACGAGAUCCGCACCUUUAUU
RNAcentral lists this ribosomal RNA (733 nucleotides) under uncultured archaeon. RNAcentral's name for it is "bacterial SSU rRNA". It matches the Rfam family "Archaeal small subunit ribosomal RNA", at positions 325 to 1064 of the family's 1478-position model. The record is from RNAcentral.